RNAcentral lists this ribosomal RNA (301 nucleotides) under uncultured bacterium. Its description in RNAcentral is "partial 16S ribosomal RNA". It matches the Rfam family "Bacterial small subunit ribosomal RNA", at positions 509 to 807 of the family's 1533-position model. The record is from RNAcentral.
CAGUCGCCGCGGGAAUACGUAGGUGGCAAGCGUUGUCCGGAAUUAUUGGGCGUAAAGCGCGCGCAGGUGGUUUAAUAAGUCUGAUGUGAAAGCCCACGGCUCAACCGUGGAGGGUCAUUGGAAACUGUUAAACUUGAGUGCAGGAGAGAAAAGUGGAAUUCCUAGUGUAGCGGUGAAAUGCGUAGAGAUUAGGAGGAACACCAGUGGCGAAGGCGGCUUUUUGGCCUGUAACUGACACUGAGGCGCGAAAGCGUGGGGAGCAAACAGGAUUAGAUACCCCGGUAGUCCCUGUCUCUUAUAC